UGGGUAAUCCACCCUCGGCACCGGAAUAGCCCGAGGAAACUCGGAUUAAUACCGGAUGGCCCCUCCGACUUUCGGGUCGGUCGGGAAAGGUAGCUUAGGCCUCUGGCCGGGGACGAGCCCGCGGCGGAUUAGCUUGUUGGUGGGGUAAUGGCCUACCAAGGCAACGAUCCGUAGCUGGUCUGAGAGGACGAUCAGCCACACUGGGACUGAGACACGGCCCAGACUCCUGCGGGAGGCAG
RNAcentral lists this ribosomal RNA (239 nucleotides) under uncultured bacterium. Its description in RNAcentral is "partial 16S ribosomal RNA". It matches the Rfam family "Bacterial small subunit ribosomal RNA", at positions 118 to 351 of the family's 1533-position model. The record is from RNAcentral.